RNAcentral lists this ribosomal RNA (411 nucleotides) under Actinomycetes bacterium. RNAcentral describes it as "Actinobacteria bacterium partial 16S ribosomal RNA". It matches the Rfam family "Bacterial small subunit ribosomal RNA", at positions 355 to 776 of the family's 1533-position model. The record is from RNAcentral. Lineage: Bacteria; Bacillati; Actinomycetota; Actinomycetes.
UGGGGAAUAUUGCACAAUGGGCGCAAGCCUGAUGCAGCGACGCCGCGUGGGGGAUGACGGCCUUCGGGUUGUAAACUCCUUUCGCUAGGGACGAAGCUUUUUGUGACGGUACCUAGAUAAGAAGCACCGGCUAACUACGUGCCAGUAGCCGCGGUAAUACGUAGGGUGCGAGCGUUGUCCGGAAUUACUGGGCGUAAAGGGCUCGUAGGUGGUUUGUCGCGUCGUCUGUGAAAUUCCGGGGCUUAACUCCGGGCGUGCAGGCGAUACGGGCAUAACUUGAGUACUGUAGGGGUAACUGGAAUUCCUGGUGUAGCGGUGAAAUGCGCAGAUAUCAGGAGGAACACCGAUGGCGAAGGCAGGUUACUGGGCAGUUACUGACGCUGAGGAGCGAAAGCAUGGGUAGCGAACAGG